GUUCAUUCUUUUGCUUUUUCAGACGUCACAAGAAUUCUAACAAGCAAGUUUACAGACAGCAAAGGAGCACCACUGAACUGUACACUUUCGCACAGGCUGUUUCCUGAAUGACUGGGGCCAGAGAGGAAAAUAUGAUCAAAAACAGUGCACUUGUUUUCCAACUUCCGCUUGAAUGCACAAAUCUCAAAGAAAUUAGAAUAGGCUGCUUGUUGUGGGGAUUUUCCUUGUGUAUUGUUGUUGCUUUGUUAAGGUAAGUAGGAAGAAGAUGGGAGAGAAGACUGGAUUCUUCAGGGGAUCAGUAUCGGUAAUAAGACAUGGAAGCUUUCACCUUUAAGUCAUUUGUUCAAAUACAGCACAAGAUCAUAAUCUGCAAUGAUUGUUCCCUGCCCAUUCUGAACUGUGCUGUAGGUCUCAGUCCAGCAAACUACACACCUAACUUUAGACACAUGGAUGAGUCUAAUUUAUUUCACAUGCUGGAAGUUAGACACGUGCUUCAGCACCUUGCUGAAUCAGGACCCUAAUGCACAGUACAGAUCACAAAUGGCAUGCUCUCCCUAUAUCAUCAACAAAAAGGCCAAAUACCAAAGGAGCAUGGAAAUAAAAAUACGCUUGUAUCUCUGGAGACGGUCGCUCCAGGUCAAGCUUGAGACAUGUUGAUGGAUUGUUUUGUCUAUUCCGCAGGAAACAGAAGUUUUCAGUGUUCAGGACCUUUGCUAUGGUAUGUUCACAAGCAUUAAAUGAAGUGAAGCCUAAACGGAACAUAGCAUUGUCGAUGGA
Dermochelys coriacea (leatherback sea turtle) is the source of this 777-nucleotide long non-coding RNA. RefSeq lists it as uncharacterized. The transcript has 2 exons. NCBI's taxonomy places the organism in Eukaryota, Metazoa, Chordata, Testudines, Dermochelyidae. The record is from RefSeq and is a predicted model, not a curated record.